ACUCAGGAGGAAAAUUAAGUGCUUGAAUAUUAAUAGUUAUAUUCUUUAAAAUCAAAGAAUUUGGCGGUAUUUUAGUCUUGUCAGAGGAACUUGUUUUAUAAGCGAUAAAACACGUAGGAUCUUACUUACCUUAGUAAUUUUACAGUUUGUAUACCGUCAUUAUUAAAUAAUCUUGAAAAAGAUAAUUAUUGGGAUUAAUAGGUUAAAUAUAUUAGAUCAAGGUGCAGCUGAUAGGUAAGCAGAAAUGAGUUACAAUAAUAUUUAUUUAGGACGGAUUAUAGAUAAAAUUAUUUAUAAAGAAGGUGGAUGUGAUUGUAAGGAAGGUUUAAUAAGCCUUCUUGGUAUAAGCUCUAAAUUAUGUACAUAUUGCCCGUCACUUUCAUUUAAAAU
RNAcentral lists this ribosomal RNA (390 nucleotides) under Thaumastocheles massonktenos. RNAcentral describes it as "partial 12S ribosomal RNA". The record is from RNAcentral. Lineage: Eukaryota; Metazoa; Arthropoda; Malacostraca; Decapoda; Thaumastochelidae.